GCCUGCACCUCUAGCACAUCUUGCAUCCGCGACUUAGACCGCGACUCGAGUCGACAUUCCCGCGGCUGUCAAAUCUGUCGAUUUCCGUAGCACAACUUGUACCCGCGACUGCAACAGCCGCGUAGAGAACUCAAAGUCGCGGCGCGACUCAUCAGUGUUCCCCGAUGGAAUCAAAGUCUAAACAUAAAUGCUAUUUACAUGUGACAACACUGAAUCGGAAACAGGGUUGCGCUAUUUCAUUCGUUCUUUGGUGGUAAAAAAUCUAGUUUAUUGUCGAUGGUUAAGUUUUUCCUGUCAAAGUCAAGGAACUUUCAAAUUUUGUCAACAUUUAAUUACGAGAAAAAAUAUGAAAAAAAUAAUAAGUCCAGCAUUAUCCUAGACACGAUUGAUAUCCCAGCACCCAAAGGAAAAUAUUGUUAACAGGAAUGUGCCAACGGGACCCGAAGUGGAGAGUCAGGAAAAGAAACACACUAGGCAAGCUUGUAGGUUUCAAACGCGGAGCUGUCCGUUUCUAAAGUCACUAAGAUGUGAGAAGCGCUUUAGCUUUAAGAACACCACCGAGGAAGUGAACUAUUAUAAUAACCAUAAUGGUUAUGGCGUACCUAUCUAUAAUUCAUUUUUUUUUAGCAUUAGAAAUAAGGUAAACAAUCUUGAUGUGUCUUUUAAUUGAAAAACACAUUUUAAAAAUAAGUUACAGCAAAUAUGUAACAAUUAUGAAUCUAAUACGAUCAUUUAUAUUUUUCUGCUUUCAUAAGCAAAUAUUGUGCCAAUAAUGGAUGGCAUGUGUGUGUACUGUGUAGUGUGUAACUGUUUAUGAUUUGACAAAUUGAUUUGAAAAGCUUAUUUCAUAGUCCCCGAUGAAGUCACAACCAUAUUUUAUUUUUUUGUUUACAAACCAAUUUUCUUUCCAGGGUGAUAUUUAAUUGUCCUACGCCACAUGUCGAAUAAAAAGGAAGACAGAAAAUACUUUUCAAGGGUAAUAAAGAAGAUUCUUACAAUUUCUCUAUUGUGGUUCUAGAUGUUAAUAAUAUAUUAGGUUUAAUAAUAAGAAGUCGAAUAUUGCAAGAAUAUAUAAGGCAAAGCAAUAUACUAUUAAUUUAAAUA
Molecule: long non-coding RNA, 1104 nt
Organism: Cydia splendana
Lineage: Eukaryota; Metazoa; Arthropoda; Insecta; Lepidoptera; Tortricidae
Exons: 2
Source: RefSeq, a predicted model, not a curated record